Molecule: ribosomal RNA, 253 nt
Filed under: uncultured bacterium
Lineage: Bacteria
Description: partial 16S ribosomal RNA
Rfam family: Bacterial small subunit ribosomal RNA
Source: RNAcentral
UACGAAGGGUGCUAGCGUUGUUCGGAAUUACUGGGCGUAAAGCGCGCGUAGGCGGCUAUUCAAGUCAGAGGUGAAAUCCCUGGGCUCAACCCAGGAAUUGCCUUUGAAACUGUAUAGCUUGAGUGUCGGAGGGGAUAGCGGAAUUCCUAAUGUAGAGGUGAAAUUCGUAGAUAUCAGGAGGAACACCGGUGGCGAAGGCGGGUCUCUGGGCCGAUAUUGACGCUGAGGAGCGAAAGCGUGGGGAGCGAACAGG